Arachis duranensis is the source of this 818-nucleotide long non-coding RNA. RefSeq lists it as uncharacterized. The record is from RefSeq and is a predicted model, not a curated record. NCBI's taxonomy places the organism in Eukaryota, Viridiplantae, Streptophyta, Magnoliopsida, Fabales, Fabaceae. The transcript has 2 exons.
CAGGCGUCGGGCUGCUGCACACCCCGAUCACCAAAGGACCAAGAAGGGAAACACGUCCAUGCACGCCCCAUCUGGGCACCACCAAGGGAGCAUGGCGUGGUCGAGUUGUGCCUUGUGCACCCGCGGCGUGCUCGCCUUACGUCUAUGGUGGACGCAAGACGGUGCCCGACGCGGUGUUGGUUUUGCUGUGCGGGUUGCUUAAUCUUAGACGGUGCGGCUGUUCGAUUAUCGCCCAAAGCACCUCACGCCUCGGGCUGUCCCUUGAAUGUUCUUAGUCGCUUCCCCCGAACCCUGCCCAGCGGAGUUGGCUCGGCACUCCCGUAUGCUUCCGCUUGACGGCACGCUCCAAGGCGUGCGGGGGGCUGCUCGUCCGGGCGUGCUGGGUUUGCGGACCGUGGUGGCGGAUGAGUGGUAUGCGGGUCGUUAGUGUGUCUGGCUCCUUGCCGCGCGCACCUAACGGCCGCGCUGAAACUCGAGUUGCCCAAAAGGCUUGCUUGGCGCAAUGCGAGCAAGGUGAGACGCCGAAAGGCUUGCUGGGCACAAUGCCCGCAAGAUGCACGUUGCCUAGGCACACUAGCAAGCCCGUUGUGGUUGUGGUGUGCCGUCGGGGUCCCCCGCCCCGGGUCCAAGGUCGAGCACGGGCGUCGGGCUGCCGCACACCCCGAUCACCAAAGGACCAAGAAGGGAAACACGUCCAUGCACGCCCCAUCUGGGCACCACCUAGGGAGCAUGGCGUGGUCGAGUUGUGCCUUGUGCACCCGCGGCGUGCUCGCCUUACGUCUAUGGUGGACGCAAGACGGUGCCCGACGCGGUGUUGG